Xenia sp. Carnegie-2017 is the source of this 721-nucleotide long non-coding RNA. RefSeq lists it as uncharacterized. NCBI's taxonomy places the organism in Eukaryota, Metazoa, Cnidaria, Anthozoa, Malacalcyonacea, Xeniidae. The transcript has 3 exons. The record is from RefSeq and is a predicted model, not a curated record.
CUGUUUCUGCAUGUAAACAAACACAAAAAUGCUAGAUCGAUGUGUAGUUUUUGGUUGUUCUAACGUAGCCAGUUCGGAGAAAGGCAUUUCACUUCAUCGCAUACCAUUUUUUAACGACGAAAGAAGCGAAGCUAAGCGUAGGAGAAAGCGUUGGGUCAACUUUGCGAAAGCUACUCGCGAUAAGUGGGUCCCCACAAAGAAUUCCGCAGUUUGCUCGGAACACAAGAUUCGUUUUCUCGGCAAUUCGGCUCGCUUUCUUGAUCAGAAAGUAAUUUUGCACUUUGAAUCAUACGAGACGAAUUCGGAAUCGUUGCUUACCCGAGCAUUUAUCCUCGAAAAGAUGACAAUGAACUUACAACAAGAGAUCGCGGAAUGAUGUCUGAUUAUAAAAGAGAGGUUGAAUCAGAAAAUAUUCCCAGUACAAGUAGCGAACCUCAAGAGCAAAUAGAAGAAACAACUUGUGAUGAGCCUGUAUUAUCUGAAUGAUCAGCUACUCUUUUCCUGGAAUGUUCUGCAGGCAUAUCCUUGUUGUAACUCACUUCGAAAGCAAUUUGGACAGGGAUAAUCAAGAGGUUAAUGGAGUUCCCCAGGUUAAAGUGCAUUAUCCAAAAUUUAUAAAUGGUGAAGCUGUUGUAAGAAAUGUAAAAGUUGCUCAGGAUUUUGGUAAGGUUAUUUAAUAUAUUUCUCCUACUGCCUGAUUUCAUGUGUUAAAUGCCAUAAC